UGUCCUUUAUUUACUGGCUUAAUUUGAAGAAAGACUGUACUAGUAUGACGCUUUGUCUUGUUCUUGAAAUACUGGUUUAUUUUGAAGAAAGACUGUACUAGUAUGACGCUUUGUCUUGUUCUUGAUUUACUGGUUUAUUUUACGGUUGAGUGGCUUGUUUUGUAGUUAGUAAGUACUGGAAUGACGCUAUCUAUGCCUUAUAAUUGUUUGACUGGUUUCUUUUGUGGAUGGGCAGUGACGUUUUGUAUUGUUAUUGGUUGACUGGUUUGUUUUGUAGAUAAACAGUACUGGAGUGACACUUUAUUUAUUGGUUCACUAGAAAUACUUGAGAGACGCUUUGCCUCGUUCAUUUGCUUACUGGCUUAUAUUUUAGAUAGAAAGUACUGGAGUACUAAACUGUGGAUACCUCACAUAUAAAACAAAGAUGAAAAGUACCUCGUUACGGGGUAUCAGUUACAGGUGAAACAACAGUCAGAUACAUGUUAGUUGCAGCUACAUAUCACGACUGCUUAACGAAAGAACACUAACUCCUACAUUUUCUGUAAAUAAGGUUAAAUUAUUAAUACUGCUGAGCCAGCUUGUCAAACCAUUGUUCAACAGUACCUAAUUGUUGAGUCAAACCAAUGUUCAACCACACUUAAUUGUUGAGUCUAACAAUUGUUCGACCACAUCUAAUUUCCUCUUAGAUUGUUAUCUCCCAAGCAAAUAUGAGAAGAAAAAGAUAGUAACCAAUAAGUUGGCAAGCAGACCACUCUUCGGCCUCGAGAAGUAUCCAUAUUAAAGCAAACUUUGUUUAUGUAUGGAUGAUUAGUGGAAUCUUCGAGUGUUCUCUUUUAUAGAAAACAGCUUAAUGGAAAAAUUAGUGGUGAGGAUAAAAUUAUUUGGUAACUCGUGCUGUAAAGCACAAUAUGGUGAUAUUCUAAGGGUUUUAUUGUUUUACUGAAAAUUAUGCUGAAGUGAUUUCAUUGAUUUAUCUGAUAUAUAAACCUUUUAAAUGCAACUGAAAAAGAAUCUUUAAAAGUUUGACAACGUCACUUUCUUCCUACAGGCUUUUAUUAUCAUAUUGAGUUUUAUAAUAGGCCUUUACUAGAGACUUUUCCUUUGAAAAUUCUUUGUUUUCUUUACAAAGUACCAGAACGUUAUAAGUUUGUUUUUUUAAUUCCAACUGUGAUAGUCUUUUUCCAUACGUGUCUUAUUUUACAUGCUCAGAUAUCUUCUUUUUUAAAAUGCAAGAUAAAAAAGUUAAGUUAUGUUUAAAAAAAUUGAAAAUAAGAAUGUCUUUAAUCAGUUUGUCCUCUGAAUAAUUCAGAAGAAUAAAUUGGUAGCAUAAAUGCUACGUAUUCUUCAAAUCAACAGUGAGUAAAAGUCAUCACAUUUAUAAUACACAGUCUACCACUAUAAGAAUCUUAGCGUUAUUUUUUAAAAUUUGCUUU
Limulus polyphemus (Atlantic horseshoe crab) is the source of this 1433-nucleotide long non-coding RNA. RefSeq lists it as uncharacterized. NCBI's taxonomy places the organism in Eukaryota, Metazoa, Arthropoda, Merostomata, Xiphosura, Limulidae. The transcript has 3 exons. The record is from RefSeq and is a predicted model, not a curated record.